Molecule: long non-coding RNA, 941 nt
Filed under: Betta splendens (Siamese fighting fish)
Lineage: Eukaryota; Metazoa; Chordata; Actinopteri; Anabantiformes; Osphronemidae
Description: lncRNA (ENSBSLG00000020711.1)
Source: RNAcentral
CACCCCGGGGAGACGUGAAACGGCCCCAGAAAGAGCGAAGCUGGAGCUUCUCUGGAGCCUCCAGAGGUUCUGUUCAGGAGACAUGCGGCACCAGCCAGCAGCAGACAGCUUCCAGUCAUCAUCGCUAGGAAUUAAUUAGCCAUCGCUAAUCCAAAACUAAGUUGGUUGUUGACUUGCUGUGAGAGCGACCAGGGGAGGAGUGAGACACAGCCACCGCCUCCUCACCCACUCAGCCCUGCUCAGUGCCUGAUGGUGAGCGCUGCAAUGAGGGGGGAGGAAGAGUGAUAGGGUUCCUCCAGCAGCCAAGGCCGUGUCAGCUGCGUGUCAAAUACAUUUUUAUCUGCAACUUCAAAUACUGUAUGUAAAAUCAGCCCCUCUCCUCCUCCAAGCCUCCCAUUAUUUCGUCGCCUGCUUCCACCUCUUCUUCCAUUUACAGCUCUUGGUGUUCACUGGAAACUGUAGCGUUCAGACUACCUGGACAUGCUCUAUCUGUCCAUGGCCACCUGUACUGAUUGCAUUUCCUCCACCAAUUACUUGGGUAAUUGUGGGAGCACCUGGGCUGCAGAUAACCACCACCUGCGACAGCUCACACACUUUACAACGGAGAGUGGACAUGCAGAAGCUGGCCACAAAAAAAGAAAAAAUGAGUGAGGCUUAAACUGUAAAGAUGCCCCACUCUUUUCCAGGCACCUGCUCCACGUCCAGAGGUGCCUUUGUGACAUUUCUGUCUCCUCCCCCUCAUCAAUCACAGCACGGGACCGAGCAGGUGCUGAAGACCAUCUCGACAUUCCUCAACUGGCUCAGCCUGCAGUGCCGGAGUCUUGAGGCUCAUCCAGUUUUCCCAGCCACCGGAUAAAGCCUCAACACCACAGCUCAGACGCCUGUUAUUGUCUCCCUUUGAGUCCCAAGGUCACAGGCUCAUAGCAAGGGUCAAGGUAACA